Molecule: long non-coding RNA, 171 nt
Organism: Neltuma alba
Lineage: Eukaryota; Viridiplantae; Streptophyta; Magnoliopsida; Fabales; Fabaceae
Exons: 3
Source: RefSeq, a predicted model, not a curated record
CAUUUUCAAACUUGAAAAUGUAGAAUCUAUUAAAAAGGAAAUCGAAAUUCUCAGCCAACUGAAACAUCCCAAUAUUGUGAAGUAUUAUGGCAAUGAAAUAGUUGGACACCACAUUUCUCUAUACAUGGAAUACAUCCAACCAGGUUCAUUGAAGAAAUAUAUAUCGAAAGG